This 413-nucleotide ribosomal RNA is filed under the name uncultured bacterium. RNAcentral's name for it is "bacterial SSU rRNA". It matches the Rfam family "Bacterial small subunit ribosomal RNA", at positions 355 to 787 of the family's 1533-position model. The record is from RNAcentral.
UGGGGAAUCUUGCACAAUGGAGGCAACUCUGAUGCAGCGACGCCGCGUGAGCGAUGAAGCCCUUCGGGUGUAAAGCUCUUUCGGCAGGGAAGAUAAUGACGGUACCCGUAGAAUAAGCCCCGGCUAACUUCGUGCCAGCAGCCGCGGUAAUACGAAGGGGGCUAGCGUUGCUCGGAAUUACUGGGCGUAAAGCGCACGUAGGCGGUCUUUUAAGUCGGGGUGAAAUCCUGGAGCUCAACUCCAGAACUGCCUUCGAUACUGGAAGACUUGAGUCCGGAAGAGGCGAGUGGAAUUCCUGGUGUAGCGGUGGAAUGCGCAGAUAUCAGGAGGAACACCAACGGCGAAGGCAGCUCGCUGGGACGGUACUGACGCUGAGGCGCGAAAGCGUGGGGAGCGAACAGGAUUAGAUACCC